CAGUCGCCACGGGAAUACGGAGGGAGCAAGCGUUAAUCGGAAUUACUGGGCGUAAAGCGUGCGUAGGCGGUGAGUUAAGUCUGCUGUGAAAUCCCCGGGCUCAACCUGGGAAUGGCAGUGGAUACUGGCUCGCUAGAGUGUGUCAGAGGAUGGUGGAAUUCCCGGUGUAGCGGUGAAAUGCGUAGAGAUCGGGAGGAACAUCAGUGGCGAAGGCGGCCAUCUGGGACAACACUGACGCUGAGGCACGAAAGCGUGGGGAGCAAACAGGAUUAGAUACCCCCGUAGUCCCUGUCUCUUAUAC
RNAcentral lists this ribosomal RNA (301 nucleotides) under uncultured bacterium. RNAcentral's name for it is "partial 16S ribosomal RNA". It matches the Rfam family "Bacterial small subunit ribosomal RNA", at positions 509 to 807 of the family's 1533-position model. The record is from RNAcentral.